UACGGGGGGGGCAAGCGUUGUUCGGAAUUACUGGGCGUAAAGGGCUCGUAGGCGGCCAACUAAGUCAGACGUGAAAUCCCUCGGCUUAACCGGGGAACUGCGUCUGAUACUGGUUGGCUUGAAUCCGGGAGAGGGAUGUGGAAUUCCAGGUGUAGCGGUGAAAUGCGUAGAUAUCUGGAGGAACACCGGUGGCGAAGGCGGCAUCCUGGACCGGUAUUGACGCUGAGGAGCGAAGGCCAGGGGAGCAAACGGG
RNAcentral lists this ribosomal RNA (253 nucleotides) under uncultured bacterium. RNAcentral describes it as "partial 16S ribosomal RNA". It matches the Rfam family "Bacterial small subunit ribosomal RNA", at positions 524 to 776 of the family's 1533-position model. The record is from RNAcentral.